This 1990-nucleotide long non-coding RNA is filed under the name Triticum aestivum (bread wheat). RNAcentral's name for it is "long non-coding RNA (TAES_LNC018632)". Lineage: Eukaryota; Viridiplantae; Streptophyta; Magnoliopsida; Poales; Poaceae. The record is from RNAcentral.
AAAAGAAAAAGGUGAACAUGUUGUGCAGAUUGUGGAGACUGCAUGUAUAUGUGGUGAUGUUUCACUCGCAUCCGUCAGAGUUUCAGUUCCAAUUUAGGAGGUUCACACAUGUUGACCAACUCAUAGUAACGAAUUGAGCAUUUAUAUUCUUUGAGUUCCAUGGUACCUUGUUCACACUUUUGAGCUUGGAUCAUUUACUCGGAUUCCGCAGAACAAUUCACAGCCAACAGUGAAUUCAGAAGUUGGCAGUUCCAUUCAGACAACAGAAGUUACAGAAAUGACGGGAGAUAUCUCGAUGGAGUGCUGCGCAGUUCUGCAAAAUUGAUCCUAUCAAAGGUAAUUACAUUACAUGCGUUUCUUGUGUUGCGUGAUGGAUUAUUUGGUCUUUCGAUGCUGAUUUUGGUUUCGUGUAUGUGGGGGCAUGCGUCAUCAUGCAGGGUCUCACUCCCUCUUGACGAACCUCAAGUCCUCUCCCCCGCCUCACUUCAUUGUUAGUUUUUUUUUCGGCGGGUGUAAAAAGGUUUAUUCCAAAGCAAUAGAGUUACCUGCACAUGUGUGCAGAGUUUGCUAGCUGCAGCAAGUAGUCUAACGCCAAUUCGACACUCACCUGCUGAACUUCGGUCAGCAUCUCUUUGCUAGUUAGUGUCAUCUCCUGUUGGACUUCUACUUGUUGGUGAUCCGCCCACUGAUCAUCACGACAAAUCGAUGGAUGGAACUGGGCUAUAGCAGCAGUUGAAUUGCAGGCCAGCAAGCAAGAACCUGAGACAACGUUCAAGUGUGUUGUAAAUUGUAAUGCUUUCUUCGGACUGAAAUUGCUUGCUCUUCAGACAUGUAAUUUCAGUUAUUUGCAAAAAAGAAAAGACGUGCAUAAAAUUCCAAUUAAGCCGAAGCAAACUUACAAAAAAAUUGUCCAUUCGUUUAGUUGUGCAUAAUUUCCGAGUUUGCAUGGCUGAGAAAAAAAUAACAAAACAAAACAGAAUAAUACGUAUCAUUACAAGGCCCAGGAGAGAGAGGGGGAGAGAGAGGCAGCCUUUUCUAGCCGGGAGCUUCAGUUUCUCCGAGCGGGAUCCAGGCAGCGUCAGGGAGGUCAGCAGUGACAGGGACAGAGCGGCCAGCCAUGACCCGGGAGACAUGGCGCGCGGAGGCCACUGCGGUUGGUGGUUUAAAAUAUUAUUAUAUUUAAAAUCAUGUAUUUCUCUAGAUAUUGCACUGCUGUUCCUCUGGUACUAUGUUUAUCAUCAUUUUUUAUAAUGUUUUGCUUAAUAUCAACGCUGUUAAAAAUCAAGUUUUGUCAUUAGGUUGAUGUACAAGAAGGAUAUAGAAAAGCUCAUUCGUGGUUACGUUAAUUCGUUGGAACCAAAUGACACAUGACCGCGUAAGGUAAAAUAUGCUCUCCAAUUUCAAAUAGUUUUAGAUGCAAACAUAAACUAGCAUUAUAUCCUUACCGAAAAAGGGUUUCCCCCGCUUUAUAUUAUAAAGCACCCACCGAGCCACAAGUGCAACGAUACAAAAGAAAGGAAGGAAAAACCAUAAACGGCAAAGAUACAAGAUACCAAAGGAGCCACUAACAAGACUCGAAUGCACCAAGCACAAGCUUGAACAUCGAAGCCCUCGGCGAACAGGAGCCAACACACGCCGCGACUAAGCCGAGGUAGAUCCCGCUGCAGGAGGAUUGUCACGCUCCGUCAUCCCCCUUGAGCCAAGCCAUCCGGUCCGCCAUCCGUCUCUACCUCCAAAGAGAGCCCCCUGCCCUCUGGUCCUGGAUCGGAGGACACUACGCCGUCGACAGGCAGAGUCGCUCACCCCUGAGCUCGCAUGACCAGGACCAACAGGUUGCCGGGAGGGGGCGACAAGCACGACUACCGCACCAGGCAGCCGCACCACCAAGCAUCGCCAACGCCGCGCGCCGGCGCCAACUUCAACCGCAAGUGGCCGAGCAUGGACACCACUGGCGAUAUCAGGCAGCCACCUCCCAUGCCAAAGCCUCGAC